GCAAACUUCCACUCUCUAUUCCUCCUUCUACUCCCUUGGCCUGUGUUCUCAAAAACUUAAAACCUCUUCAACUCACACCUGACCUAAAACCUAAAUGCCUUAUUUUCUUCUGCAAUGCCACUUGACCCCAAUACAAACUCGACAGUAGUUCCAAAUAGCCAGAAAAUGGCACUUUGAAUUUUUCCUUGCUGCAAGAUCUAAAUAAUUCUUGUCGUAAAAUAGGCAAACGGUCUGAGGUGCCUGAUGUCCAGGCAUUCUUUUACACAUCACUCCUUUCCUAGUCUCUGUGCCCAGUGCAACUCGUCCCAAAUCUUCCUUCUUUCCCUCCCGCAUGUCCCCUCAGUACCAACCCCAAGCGUCACUGAGUCUUUCUAAUCUUCCUUUUCUACAGACCCAUCUGACCUCUCCCUUCCUCCCCAGACUGCUCCUCAUCAUGCCGAGCUAGGUCCCAAUUCUUCCUCAGCCUCCGCUCCUCCACCCUAUAAUCUUUUUAUCACCUCCCCUCCUCACACCUGGUCCGGCUUAUAGUUUCGUUCCGUGAUUAGCCCUCCCCCUCCUGCCCAGCAAUUUACUCUUAAAAAGGUGGCUAGAGCUAAAGGCAUAGUCAAGGUUAAUGCUCCUUUUUCUUUAUCCCAAAUCAGAUAGCGUUUAGGCUCUUUUUCAUCAAAUAUAAAAAUCCAGCCCAGUUCAUGGCUUGUUUGGCAGCAACCCUGAGACACUUUACAGCCCUAGACCCUAAAAGGUCAAAAGGCCGUCUUAUUCUCAAAAUACAUUUUAUUACCCGACAUUAAUAAAACAUUAAAUAAAACUCCAAAAAUUAAAUUCCGGCCCUCAAACCUCACAACAGGAUUUAAUUAACCUCGCCUUCAAGGUGUACGAUAAUAGAAAAAAGUUGCAAUUCCUUGCCUCCACGGUGAGACAAACCCCAGCCACAUCUCCAGCACACAAGAACUUCCAAAUGCCUGAACCGCAGAGGCCAGGCAUUCCUCCAGAACCUCCUCCCACAGGAGCUUACUACACGUGCCGGCAAUCUGGCCACUGGGCCAAGGAAUGCCCGCAGCCCGGGAUUCCUCCUAAGCCGCGUCCCAUCUGUGUGGGACCCCACUGGAAAUCGGACUGUUCAACUCACCUGGCAGCCACUCCCAGAGCCCCUGGAACUCUGGCCCAAGGCUCUCUGACUGACUCCUUCCCAGAUCUUCUUGGCUUAGCGGCUGAAGACUGACACUGCCCGAUUGCCUUGGAAGCCCCCUAAACCAUCACGGAUGCCGAGCUUCGGGUAACUCUCACAGUGGAAGGGACGUGCAUGAAAGUUAGGGGUAGAAGAAAAGAUGGAUUGAGGUUGUCCUCAGACUUUCCAUGGUAUCUGAGCUGUUUUCCUCUUCCGGAAUUGUGUCUCAUAUGAAGUUCCUCUUCAUUUGAG
RNAcentral lists this long non-coding RNA (1420 nucleotides) under Homo sapiens (human). Its description in RNAcentral is "HSALNT0336905". The record is from RNAcentral. Lineage: Eukaryota; Metazoa; Chordata; Mammalia; Primates; Hominidae.